AGUGAACGCUGGCGGUAGGCCUAACACAUGCAAGUCGAACGGCAGCACAGUAAGAGCUUGCUCUUACGGGUGGCGAGUGGCGGACGGGUGAGGAAUACAUCGGAAUCUACUUUUUCGUGGGGGAUAACGUAGGGAAACUUACGCUAAUACCGCAUACGACCUACGGGUGAAAGCAGGGGAUCUUCGGACCUUGCGCGAUUGAAUGAGCCGAUGUCGGAUUAGCUAGUUGGCGGGGUAAAGGCCCACCAAGGCGACGAUCCGUAGCUGGUCUGAGAGGAUGAUCGGCCACACUGGAACUGAGACACGGUCCAGACUCCUACGGGAGGCAGCAGUGGGGAAUAUGGGGCAAUGGGCGCAAGCCUGAUCCAGCCAUACCGCGUGGGUGAAGAAGGCCUUCGGGUUGUAAAGCCCUUUUGUUGGGAGAGAAAAGCAGCAGGUUAAUACCCCGCUGUUCUGACGGUACCCAAAGAAUAAGCACCGGCUAACUUCGUG
This 492-nucleotide ribosomal RNA is filed under the name uncultured bacterium. RNAcentral's name for it is "partial 16S ribosomal RNA". It matches the Rfam family "Bacterial small subunit ribosomal RNA", at positions 29 to 507 of the family's 1533-position model. The record is from RNAcentral.